Cavia porcellus (domestic guinea pig) is the source of this 135-nucleotide small nucleolar RNA. Ensembl annotates it as small nucleolar RNA SNORA29. The record is from Ensembl. Lineage: Eukaryota; Metazoa; Chordata; Mammalia; Rodentia; Caviidae.
UUUCCCAUUUGACUACCACGUUUUCUUCUGUGAUAGAUUUUGUGGCUAUGCUUAUGGGACAGAUGAAAGUUGCCAUGAUCUGAAAGAGGGCUUUUCAGUGCCCUCCUCCUAUAUGAAAUGGCUGAACAGAAGGAA